UAUUAUAUUUAGAGAGAUGGUACAGUUGAAAGCACGUGUGUUUCACUUCAGAUUUACCGAUUUUAUCGCAAGGAAAUAAGAAACAACGUUGAUUGUGAUAGCUGAACUACCUAAAAAUCCCAUUCCUAUACCUAAUUUAUGUAACUAUGAGCUUCCGGAUAUUCAAGGGUCGUAUAAACCGGAAUAAUCUUUGUCCUUUAUUUGUACCAGUUGGAUUUUGAUUGACAACAAUUGACACGUGCUGAAGACAACAAGAUCUUCGCCCGACUACUGUCAUCAUAGAAUACGAGUGGGUGGCAGGUCGUCCAUCUGAAAUUUUUCAGACCGGGAGCUACAGACCUACAGCUACAUCUAGAUGAGAUGGUCAAAAGAGACAAGAAUAAAGAAAUUGGACAUGGCUAGCAAAGAUGGAAUAAAGGGUGAAGCAGAACUGCCAAAUUAAUCAAGGGAUUCGUUCAUUAUUGCACAGAUAAUCGUCUGUUGAAUAAAAAACAGACUACGGAGAGACAGAGUACCCCUUCCACCCUUCUCAAAAGCUACUAAUUAUGAUUAAUGGAAAGGGGGACGGAAAAAGGCAAUGACUUCCUCACCUUCAUCAGACAGUCUGAUGUAAACAGAGCAAUGAUGUACUCCGAUGUGACACGAAAGAAGAAAUAAAUGUUCUACUGCACUCUCUGUAAUAUCAGGAACUAUUGCUGAUAUGUUCAACUUUUAAAAGAAUAUAGGGUGCGUCUAAGCAUGGGAACAACUUUGUAGAAGAAGUUUACUAAAAAGAUUGAUUGACUUCAAUCAAUAAAGUCUACGUAGUAUUUUCAAAUACUGUACCUUGAAGUAAAGGUUUUAAAAAAUUGUGUUCUUGAAUAUUGAAGGGCAUAACUAUGUAUACACAUGUAUAGUUAUAAAAAGAAAUAUCAUACGUCGUAAUGACAAAGAGGAUUUUUGUGUGUUUUUUUUGGUUACACAAUUAAAAUAAAUACCGCUUCCGCAUGUCAAGGCGUUUUCAUAUCACAAAAAUAUUGUUUUUCUUGAAUGAGUUCUCUCUCUAUCUCUUCUCUCUCUCUCUCUCUCUGAUAAUUUGAAUUGUCUUUUUGUAGAUUAAAAGUGAAUUUUAGAAUUCUUAUAGCAUCGCAAUAAAUUAACUUCCUCUUAAUGACCAAAGGAGCCCAUGUGAGAAAAGGAUAUAUGAGACGCCUUUUGAACAUCAGACAAAUUCUUUUGUCCCCGGGGCUCGUUUAGAAAGAAAAAGACUA
Magallana angulata is the source of this 1250-nucleotide long non-coding RNA. RefSeq lists it as uncharacterized. NCBI's taxonomy places the organism in Eukaryota, Metazoa, Mollusca, Bivalvia, Ostreida, Ostreidae. The record is from RefSeq and is a predicted model, not a curated record. The transcript is spliced from 4 exons.